Molecule: transfer RNA, 66 nt
Filed under: Apatetica glabra
Lineage: Eukaryota; Metazoa; Arthropoda; Insecta; Coleoptera; Staphylinidae
Description: tRNA-Leu
Source: RNAcentral
AUUACUUUGGCAGAUUAGUGCAAUAAAUUUAGAAUUUAUUAAUGUAUUUAAUAUAUACAGGUAAUA